RNAcentral lists this ribosomal RNA (209 nucleotides) under uncultured bacterium. RNAcentral's name for it is "partial 16S ribosomal RNA". It matches the Rfam family "Bacterial small subunit ribosomal RNA", at positions 568 to 774 of the family's 1533-position model. The record is from RNAcentral.
CGCGUAGGCGGAGGACCAAGUCCGGGGGUGAAAUCUUUCGGCUCAACCGGAAAACUGCCUUGGAUACUGGUCUUCUUGAGGGAGGUAGGGGCAGGUGGAACUUCCGGUGGAGCGGUGAAAUGCGUUGAUAUCGGAAGGAACGCCGGUGGCGAAAGCGGCCUGCUGGAUCUCUUCUGACGCUGAGGCGCGAAAGCUAGGGUAAGCGAACG